GCUGGGUGCAGUGGUGCACACCUGUAAUCCCAAGGGCUUGGGAGGCUGAGGCAGGAGGAUCAUGAGUUCAAAGUCAUUUUCAUCAACCUAGUGAGACUCUGUCUCUA
Molecule: small RNA, 107 nt
Filed under: Marmota monax (woodchuck)
Lineage: Eukaryota; Metazoa; Chordata; Mammalia; Rodentia; Sciuridae
Source: RNAcentral